CCUCGGGUGGCAGCAGUGAGGAAUAUUGGUCAAUGGGCGAGAGCCUGAACCAGCCAAGUCGCGUGAAGGAUGACGGCCCUACGGGUUGUAAACUUCUUUUGUCAGGGAGCAAUUGGGUCCACGCGUGGGCUUAGCGAGAGUACCUGAAGAAAAAGCAUAGGCUAACCCCGUGCCAGCCGCCGCGGUAAGACGGAGGAUGCGAGCGGUAUCCGGUUUUAUUGGGGUGAAAGGGUGCGUAGGCGGAAUAUCAAGUCAGCGGUAAAAAUUCGGGGCUCAACCCAGUCGUGCCGUUGAAACUGAUGUUCUUGAGUGGGGAAGAGGUAUGCGGAAAGCAAGGUGUAGCGGUGAAAUGCAUAGAUAUCACGCAGAACUCCGCUUGCGAAGGCAGCAUACCGGCGCCCAACUGACGCUGAAGCACGAAAGCGUGGGUAUCGAACAGGAUUAGAUACCCGGGUAGUC
This 459-nucleotide ribosomal RNA is filed under the name uncultured bacterium. RNAcentral's name for it is "partial 16S ribosomal RNA". It matches the Rfam family "Bacterial small subunit ribosomal RNA", at positions 339 to 795 of the family's 1533-position model. The record is from RNAcentral.